Molecule: non-coding RNA, 420 nt
Filed under: Plasmodium ovale curtisi
Lineage: Eukaryota; Apicomplexa; Aconoidasida; Haemosporida; Plasmodiidae
Description: Bacterial large subunit ribosomal RNA
Rfam family: Bacterial large subunit ribosomal RNA
Source: Rfam by way of RNAcentral
AUAUUGACGAAAAGGUUUGGCACCUCGAUGUCGGCUUAUCGCAUCCUGAAGCAGUAGUAUGUUUUAAGGGUAAGUCUGUUCGCCUAUUAAAGCGAUACGUGAGCUGGGUUCAGAACGUCGUGAGACAGUUCGGUCCAUAUCUAAUAUAAGUGUUAGAAUAUUGAAAUUAUUUUUUUUAGUACGAGAGGAUCAAAAAAAUUAUACCACUAAUAUAUCAAUUAUUAUUUGUUGUAAUGUUGAGUAGUUAAGUAUAAAAUUUUAAUUGUUGAAAGAAUAUAAAUAAGAAAAUUUAAUUAAAAAUAAUAUUCUAAUCAAUUUAAAGAAUAAAACAAUAAUUAGAAAAAUUAUUUUAUAGGUUUAAUAUAUAUUUAUAGUAAUAUAUUUAGUAUAUAAUUCCUAAUAAGUUGAAUAUUUAAUUAU